AUAUGAGCAUCGGGACGUCAACAAAGAACAGAAGACUUGAGAUCUGAGCACCAGUGGACAGUGAGGACUAUGGAAGAGAAGAUGUGAUGGCUUUGUGUGGAAAGCUGCUGACGCCAGCCUGUGUCCCUCAUCAGUCUCUCCAGCCAGCACCCAGCUAUUCUUCCAUCUUGCAGAUGAAAAGACUUUGAUAUCACCUGGACACAGCAGGAACCUACUCCAGGGUCCUGUUUGUGGACUUCAGCUCCGCCUUCAACACCAUCAUCCCGGCUCUGCUGCAGGACAAGCUCUCCCAGCUGCACGUGCCCGACUC
Molecule: long non-coding RNA, 310 nt
Organism: Gymnodraco acuticeps
Lineage: Eukaryota; Metazoa; Chordata; Actinopteri; Perciformes; Bathydraconidae
Exons: 3
Source: RefSeq, a predicted model, not a curated record